Molecule: long non-coding RNA, 21314 nt
Filed under: Brachypodium distachyon (stiff brome)
Lineage: Eukaryota; Viridiplantae; Streptophyta; Magnoliopsida; Poales; Poaceae
Description: long non-coding RNA (BDIS_LNC000038)
Rfam family: MIR1120/MIR1122 microRNA precursor family (bases 20882-21005)
Source: RNAcentral
AACUGCUACGUACGGAUGAACUAAUUAACACACGCAUGCAUGCAAAUAUACGAUGCUUAAUUAAUUAACACCGAUCGAUCCCCAUUAAAACCAAACCACAUCGAUCAGACGUCGAAGGUGUUCUUGCCGGUGAACUUGACCUCAAUCGGGCUAACAUUCUUCCCGAUGCUCCUGAAAUUCUGCCCGACGCCCUGCCUGCCGGCGUUCACCUUCUCCGGGUACACCCCGUCCUUGGGGUGGAGGUACUGCACCUCGCCGCUGGGGAAGACGCGGUAGAACUGGUAGGCGAUCUUGUACUUGGAGCGGAGCCGGUUGCCGAGCGCCAGGCACUGCUCCUUGCGCGCCAGCUUGAGGAGGUUGGGCCCCUCACGCAUGAUGGCGGCGCCGCCCGUCGGCAUCUCGAACACCUGCUCCUUGGGCGACGUCCACGUGAUGACGUAGAAUUCCUCGACCUGGGCUUUGCGGAGGAGCCCGCCCGUGCUGCCGCCGAAGAUUGGGGAUGGGGUUGAGGGGUCGAGCUGGGGCGGGACGAAGCCGGCGGGGGCUGGGGUGGCGACGGGAGCCGCCGGGGUUUCUGGGGCGGCGGCGUGGAGGGCGGUUGGGGCGCGGGAGGUGGGGGAAGGGAAGGCGAGGGAGCGGGGUUUGGGGGAGGAGGAAGGGGACCGGGUGGCGGCGAGGAGGUGGCGGGUGGCGGCGGAGGCUUGCGUGGCCAUGGCCAUGGCGGGAGCUAGCUUAGCGAGAGCAAGGAGCGCGCGUGUGGGGGAUGGAUAUGGAUCGGAGUUGAUGGAGGGAAGAAGAAGAAGGGGUGGCUGAGCUUUGGCUAAAGAGGGGAUUGGGGGUGGAGAAGCGGAUAAGGGGAUAUGAGGCCGGCCAAUGGGGAGCCCGGGUUUUGAUACGGCCGGAGCGGGAGGCUUGGCGUGGCGACCACAGAAAACACAAUACAAAUCGCAGCGUGUCAACGUGCACUGGGGUCGCCGGUCGCGGUUUUCCGUGGAUUUUCCUUCCACUCUGUAUGUAUCCGACGACGUUCUAGAUCUUUUCCGUAAAGAGUUGCUUUAGUCGAUUUAAGGUGAGAGCAUUGGAAGCACUACAUGUAACGUGAAACACUGGCGUAACGUAAGUUGUAUUGCUCCAUAACCAGCUGCGACAUUCAUGUAGUGCUUACAUUGUAGUAGAAGGUAAGUACAAGUACAAGGGCUGCCGAGUGUACAGGUGUGCCGUUGAUUCAGGCCGGGAAUUGGGGACGUUGUCACGUUGACUUGGCCCAAACAAAGGAGAGUAGACUACUCUAAUUUGGUCUUCCCUGGAAACCUGGAGAGCCUGUCUCCUAGUGGUACAGGCUUAUGUUGCAGGCCGGGCUACAGGUGCGUAUUACGUAUUGGCUGGGCCGGCCUUUUCUGGGCCGGACAAGAUCGGUAGAAACAAUUUUUCCGAGGCAGGUAAACUGGCUCUAACGAAAUUUGCUGAAUUUGUUUUAUGAAUUUGGUGUAAAAAAAUACACAUGAAAGUAUGAUUAAAUUUAUCAGCGAAAUAAUUCAAUAAGAAAAAACAUGGGUACAUGAAACGGGAUUAUCAGAAACAUUCACGUUGUACCCCCUCCGUCCUAAAUAAGAAGUCCUAGGUUUAUAGAAAAGUCUAGAACUAUAAAUUACUUUUAUGAAAUCUUUCAUCGUAUGGCACCAUCUUUAUCUCGCCUUCAGCAUCGAUAUUCAGAGCCUUGAUUCCACCUGAUCAUCAUUGGGUCAGCUUGUUUCUGUUCGUACGAUGUCUCACAUACCAACCGAUUCUACACUCUGUACAUCAUCGAUGACCAUAAGGAUUUGCGCUAAUCCGCUCCUCCCGUUGUCCAUCGUCCGUCCGUGUGAGUCAUCUUGUAGCUCGCUCGUGUCAUCCUGCGUGCAUGUUCUCUUUCAGAAUGGUGAGAGGGCAUGCCUGCUCAAAUAUGGGACAGCAUGUCAACAAGCUCCCAUUCACUCUCUGCCACAUAUCCAGAUGAUGCUUGAAAUGCUUGAAAACUAAUGCAUGACGGGAGUUGGCAGGAGACAAGGGUGAUGACCUAAGGGGCCACGAAAAAGAAAAGAGGAAGAGAAAAUACAAGGACAUUUUGGUCUAAAUUCCUACCGUGUUUCUGUAAGUUUCAAGAAGUUGAUGUCGAAUUUAUCCGAAAUUGGUUUUUCUCAGCAGCUUCUAUUAAUACAGAAAAAUUGUCCUUGCAAUGGCAUUUAGCCAAUUAAUUAUAAGGAAAUAGUUUCUUGAAUCUUCAAAAUAAUCGUAUGAAAGAAAACCAUGCGGUUGCAAAUAUGGAUCCUUUCAACACCCACGUUUUCUUCAACAAAACAAGUCUUAGAAAAUAUAGCCGCUGCACCCACGACCCAACCUAGGGCGCCAAAGCCAAACUGUAGACCAGAAAAACCCUGGACCAUCCACGCCGUCCAUCUCCGAUCCUACGUCCACGGGCUUCCCCACGGCGAAGAGCAGCGGCCUCGAUAUAGGAGGGAGUCGCUGCUUCGUCGGCCCUUCUCGCCAAAGGAAACGCAGCCCAGGAAGCAACAGCCUCAUCUCCCCCCCUCCCAAGAACUCCCCUCUCUGCUCCAAGCUCCGGCCCCCAAUCUCCUGCAGAUUUCUCCCCCGCGAAUCGCCGGCGGAGCAGCGGAUCUGCGAGCAUUCUCUCGCCCCCUUCGGUCUCCUGGCGGCGCACGGGCGACCAUGGCCUAGGGUUUUGCUCUCGCCCUCUCUCGCUGAACUGCUGGGAACCCGGCGCCGCUGGGCUAGACCGUGCCGGCGGCUGAGCUAGGGCGUGUUCGGGGCAGGUCGGGCGUGGCGGCGGCUGGUCGGGGAAGCAAGUCGGGCCUGGCGGCGCGCUGACCUGGGAUAGGAGGAGGGCCACGAGUGUUUGCGGCGGCAAGACCGGCAACCGGCAGCAGGACCUCCUCUGCUUCAGUUUCGGCUUCUGGUGGUUCGUUGCUCCGAAUCCUGAGGUAUAAACCCUAACUCACUGUUGAUUCGUGGAGAAGUUGUGGAUCCGGUUGGUGGCCAGUAGAUCCGCUUGGUUUCGCCCUUCCUCGGUUUGAUUAUGUUGGUAGAUGAGUUGAAAUCCCUCCGUUAGCACUGUUACUUCUGGAGAAGAGGGACGUUUUUUUUUUGCCUUGCACCGGCAGUUUGUAGUGGGAGUAUGUGCUUCUGACUUCCAUUUUUUGUUGUAAAAUAGUAGUACUCCGUAUUUGUUUGGUUAAUUGUUCAUAUUUAUUGCAAAAACUUCUCCACAAACUAUUGAUGUGUUGCGUUUUGUUGUUGUUGCUAAACACUCAAACUGGCCAUCACCGGCUUAACCAAACAUUCAAAGUGACUCAUCCAAGUCCAUCAAAUCUUGGUCGCCUGCCCACCCGUCUGCCCAUCUUCAACCAAACUUAGUUUCAGUUUAUACUUUGUACCCCAACUAUGCUUUUACUACCAGCUAGAGGAGAUUUAACAGUCACUCGAAGAUGUCGAAUCUACCCGUAGAGAACUAUUUUAUAUAUUUUUUAAAUUCAUUCUGGUCUGCAGUUUAGGAUUUAGCUGCUGACGGAUUUGCUCUUUCAGGAUAACGAUGGAUCAGGAUAAGGAAUCAAGACCCUCAAGGUCACCCAGUGAGCCAAACUUAUUCCUGCAAUGGGGCAGCCGGAAGCGGCUUCGCUGUGUCAAGACACGCGAAGAUGGCUCGCCAUCACCAGCUCGGUCUGAUGUGCUUAGACGUACCAUACCCCGAGUAAAUCGGCCCCUUCUGGGUGGUGAUGUUGCACAAUUUCGUUCACCACGGCGCCCAAGCACUCUUCAUAGCAGGUAAUUCCCAUACGCAUAUGCCCCUUUUGUGUAGCAGUGGAAAAUGUCAAGAAAUGCCUUAGUAGGGUGUCUCAACAUGAUGUUUGUCAGCAGGAAAUCUGAGGCACAGGCGAGUGAGAACAGGCAGUCCAUGUCGCUCUCGCCAGAGAAAGACCGGUAUUACUCCACUAGGGGUUCCCCAUUUCAUUUUGAGGGGAAUGGUUUUGAUUUCAAUGGUGGAGUGGAAGAGAAGGGCACCACAGCUCUGCCAAGGUUCUUCAUCUCACUGUCCAACAAGGAGAAAGAGGAGGACUUCAUGGUAAUGAAGGGCUGCAAGCUUCCACAGAGGCCGAAGAAGAGGCCAAAGUUGAUGCAGAAGUCCUUGCUUGUAAUGCUUUCUUCCACAAAUUUAACUGCAAAGUUUUGCUCUUUUCAAAGCUGUGAAUUGUGUUCAUGCUCAUUUCUAACACUCUUGUUUUUCACCGUUGUGCAUGUCCAUAGAUGGUAUGCCCAGGAGCAUGGCUGUCAGACUUGUCACAUGAGAGGUAUGAAGUUAGAGAGAAGAAGAGUUCCAAAAAGGUAAACCUAGACUGCAAUCAUUUCUGUUUGGUUGCAAGUAACCUAACUGUUCUCUUAGUUCAAAUUUAAGUUCAUCUGUGUACAGUUGUUAACACGUGCAAAAUCAUUCAGCAGAGGGCUAGAGGACUGAAGGCUCUGUGCAUGGAGAGUGAUUCAGAGUAGAGAUUGAGGAGGGGGUCAAUUUUUUUUGACUUGUGCUGGAGGCAGAAAGACAGCGGUACUUAAGUAGCAAUGGUGGCUCUUUAACUAGACAAACCUCAGCAGCUAAUUUAGCAGGGGGGAUCAGUGCCUGCGCCCCUCCCUUAUUCACCCAUGUUGUAUGUCCAUUAUCCCACCCCCUUUUUUUUGUCGAGACUCGAAAGAAAUUGUCACCUGGAACUAUUGCACAAUGACCAAAUCAGUAAUCUUAGAUUCUGCCUGAUCUAGUGAUCCUGCUCUAGUUUCGAAAAACGACCUAGGUUUGUGGGUUGGUUAUGACUGAUAUUGCUGUGGUCACUUGGAUGGAGGUUUUGUGGGCACCUGGUUGUUCAUGCAUGAUCUUUCCACCUCUGUAGCCGGUGGUUGGUCGGUAUACUGCUUAGACUACCCUUGUCUUGGGCUUUCAGAGUGGUUCGAUGCCUCGGUAGUUUUUGUUUGGUGGCUCCGUUGGUUGGUGCUUAUCUGGGACAUAACCAAUGGAUGCCAUCACCUCCAUUUCGCAAGUUUAACCUACCUCGUGAGGAAGAAGGAAAGAACUCUUCAUUCUUUUAACAGCAAAGAAGGAAAAGACUCUUUGUCGAGCCUUUUUGCAGGCCUGUGGAAAAAACUCUUGAAAUCUGAAAUCUGCGGGGUUCCUAGACUCCCGACCUGUGCUAGAGCCCAUGGACCUGUUCCUAAAGACCGCCGACGCUUCCGGCCUCGAAGAUAAUGCCAGCCCAGUAGAUGAGAACAUCUCGGUUCUCGACGAGGACGGGCUCAGCAGCUAGUCAGUCAGUCAACCCAUGUCCAAUGACUCCACUAUCCAGUUUCUUCGCUCAAAAAAAAAGAAAAAUCCAGUGUUUUCCUUCUUUUUUUCGGACGGAGGCAGCCCUAAAUCGCCCGAUGAUCAUGGACAUGCCGCCCGUACGUACUCUGGAGUAUGGUAAGUACACGCACUGUACAAUCGGUAAGGACAUACGGAUCGAACCGGUCGCCACGGACCGUGAGACAGCUCGUCAACGGCUCAGCGCUGCUGCUCUUGCAAGAAACAAUACGGCAGAGGAAGCAAUGCAAGCUUGACUGGCCCGGCCCCGGACCCUGGGAUCCGUCCAUGGCUGAACCUGGCAUGACAUGGAUGAUGGAUCUUUGCUUGCUCCCCAGCCAGAUAGCCAGGCCAAAUCUUCCAUCUUCAAUGGCACCGAUAUGAUCAAUGGAUAUACGAAGCACAUACAUAUCUUCUUUUUAAUAUUCUGGAGUACCGACUGUACAUCCUUUUCCACCUUCAUGUUAAACAAAACUAUACCUGACACAUUCAAACUGCCCAUGAAGGAAUAAUCAAAGAGGACAGAUGUCUUGAUGCUCUGAUGGCUGUCCAGUACCCAGUACCAGCACAGUUAUCAGUUGUUUGUUGGCAUUGAGCAUUUACCAUUUGUCGGUUCAUGGCACACAGGCUGCUGAACUAACGGGCAAAGUUUAAAAGCACGCAAGGCUUCCACAGCACCACAACACGACCAGUUCAAGGUUCACCGGUAAUUAUACUGAAUCUCUCCCGGACGCAUUGCUCCUUUCGAUGCGCCAUAGUGGCAUCCAAAGGAGAGAAAGUCGUCAAGAGAAAUAAUAAAAGCAAGGCACUAAGGCCCCCUUUGGUUAAGCCCAAGAGAGAGCAUACUCCAUGACCAGAAACAAGAGCCAAGUGAAUCAACCAUAUAGGUGAAAGGAGGAAGAGGGUGGUAGGCCACAGCCACAGGCGCACCAACAACAUGCCCAUGCUUCUCUUCAGAAGACUGGCACAGAAAGAGGGAGGGGAAAAAAAGCUCGAGAGAAAAACUAGGAAAGCAACACUGGGACCCCAUUCACAUGACACACGCUAAUCUAGGGCUAAGAAAAACUUGUGCAGAUGGUGUAUUACACUUGAAUGGAUCACUCAGUCAGGGUGUCUUCUGGUCACUGGCAGCUUGCGCUCCUGCCGGGGCCUCCAUAGUAGAAGUAUGAUCCCCAGUCGCCAUUGUUGCCGUUCUGCACGUCGUAGCAGUUCGACUGCUCGGUGAAUGUGCCCACCCCCUUGGGGGCCUUGAGGUUGUUGGUGUUGUCCACCACUUGUAUGUUUUUGAAGUAGCUCGACUUGCUGAACCCUUCCUCUGGGAAGUGCCCGCUACCCAUCUGUGUCGACGUGUGCACGCCGCCGGGCUGCGAGUUCACCACCUCCCCGCCCCACUCGAUCAUCGACGCACUGUCCGCGAGGUAGGAGAAGAGGAAGGACGGCCAGUAGCCGAGGACGUACUCCUUGCCAAACUGCAUCCACCAGUGCCCCUCUUUCGGGUCCUGCUCAACAUAACAUAAGCCUCAGAAAUCGUUUAGAUGACAUGCGGCAUUACAGUACCAGGCGUGUCAAUGCUACGCAAUCAUUAGCACCGACAUACCACAAACUAGACUUUGAGUAAAGGGGAACAAGGGUAGCCAGUUUAGCACCGAGAUGCCGACAUUCAUGUUGCACUAAGCACUUAAGCAGGCCUAUGUAUGCACUCAUCACCCGUGCUCAAUAGAAAUGAAAAACCACUUGACUUUCUAUCUCAAACUCUUGCUUGUUGAGGUAAAAAGGUAGCAAUGCUUCAUGAGACUUCUUUUGACAAACACAAGCUAGAGUAAUCAUCAAGGCUAAAAAAGGUUGUUGACAAAAGAUGUAUUAUAACCACAGGGUUAUGUGGGGGUACUAAAAUAAUUCCCCAGAGUUCAGUCAAGGUUUCAAGGAGCAAGAGUAAAGAAGAGCACAGGAGCAAGUUGGCAGAGACUCUCUGGCCUGCAUGUUUGUGUCAAAUUUCUCUGACCGUAAAAUAGGGCCUGGCAUGUGUCAUGUGUAGUGACUUGUAUCUACAUAGUCCUAGAUUACCUUCCAGAUGAGUAUGCUGAUGUCAUAUUGGGAUCCGGAGUAGCCUGAGAUGGGGAAGAUGCUGGCUCCCAUGGCGACCUCACUGUUGAUCUGAACGAACCCUGCACAUAGUAUGUUGUAGCACCCUGUUGCCUGGUACGCGUCGCUCUACACAAUGCAAAAGAAUUGCAUUUAGUGAACAUCAACACGUCAUAAACAAGCACAUCCCACCAAAUUGCAGGGGUUGAUUUUGCUUACUGUCCAGUAGGUGAACAGCCUUGUGUGGUUGUCCCCGUAGAGGUCCGGACUAACCUGACGAAUCAAAGAAGCAAAAAAGAAGUUCAGAGCUCGUGACACCAACCACAACACAGGAAGAGAGCUAUGCUUCUAUCAACCGCGAAAACGGUGCUGCAUUUACUCUCUACAUGAGCGAUGGAACUGGAGGCAAAGCUCAUGAAGCAGUUGUCUGUGUCUGGUUUACCUGCCAGCCAGCCUCGAUGCUGUUGAGGUCUUCGCCGAAUGUGCCACCCAAGAUCCACAGCUGGGACAGACUGAACUCGUUGGGCUGCUCUAUCUUGGGCUCCCACACGUUGAUCGUCGCCUUGGCGCCAUAGUACUUCUCGCCUUGCACGUACGAUAUCGCGUGCUGAAAACACAAAUUCCACGGCCGGUGAUUAUGGAUUAUACGGCAGGCAGGCUCAAUCAGGAACUCUGAAGAUAGCUAGAUGAGUACAAAUACAAUGUGGGAGGACGUACUUGAUGGCCACCCUCGUUGAGCAUGGAAAGAUCGACAGACAUGGGGUUCGCCACCGUGUGCCGCUUCCUGCCGUACCGCCGGAUCGAGCUCGCCCGGAGCAGGUCGUCCUUCUUGGUCCUCCGGACCGGCACGGUGCCUUCCGGGCACCUGCCCUUCUGGUGCCACAGCUGAACCAUAGGCCUCUCGCCGUCGCCGGAGGAGGCCACAUUGGCCUUGGAUUCGUCGAACAGGCCUUCCGGGUGGUAGUUCGGCCUCAUCUGGAGCAAGCCAAAAUGCUUUAGGAAUAAACCAUAAUCGAAACCAUGGCUUGUACUGACGCAGUUGGAGUCAAAUUUACCUGGAUAGUGUGGUUCUUGAGGAAAGGGUGGUCGAAAGCCGGCUGGUGUGAGAUGUGCACGCAGUCUAUGAUGUCCCCAUCAGGGCUCUGCUCCAUCGAUUCAGAAAACCAAAAUUAGCUGUGUUUGAGCAAGGAUUGGGAGAGAACAGUAUUGCAAAAAGACAGUAGUUUGGCAUCCACUGAAGACUAAGAAUUAGCACAAAAGUUAUGCAAUAAAGAAAUUCGUGCAAGAACAAACACAAAGUGCCACCAGGAGGGGGGAGUGGGGUAUCUUUCCUGUAAAAUUUACACUGGUAUGCUUAAUGUGGCCAAAAGAAAGAUGAGGACUUUUGCACGAAAUGGUAUAAAGACUAAAGAGAAAGAGCGAAUCUCCCCCCAAGAACAAACCACACAAAAAGCCCCGGAGAAAGGCCAUCCUUUUGAAUUAGAUUAGAACUUUAAGAGAUUAGCCAAGAAACUGCAGCUGCCAUCUCGCUCAAAUCCCUCCCAAAUGCAGCUCCUUACAAACGCUAGCUUCGACUGGGAAGGGAAGGAAUCCCCAUCGAGAAAAGCCAUUCAAAUCUUGAGAAGAAGAGCGACAGCAAGAAGACAAUCUCGAAGGGACCUACGCACCUCGAUGCUCUUGACCGCGGGCUUGUUGAGGCGCUUGAGGUGCCGGUGCAUCCUGGCUUCGGGCGACCUCGCCGCGGCGGCGCACGAGAGGCACAUCACUGCCGCCGCGGCCGCCGCCACCAUCAGGCGCGCGACGACACGCACACGCGCGGUGGCCAUGGGCGGCGCUCCGCUCCUCCGCCGCCUCCCCUGCCCCCUCUCGCUCCCGGCUCCGGCUAAAACUCUGAAGACAGAAAAUCCCUUCUCUCUCUACCAAAGACGACCCACGCCGCCGGGGACCGCCGCCGCCGCAAGGCCGGCUCCGAGGGCCUGCCUGCGAAUUUCGAAACAAUGCGGGGGGUGGGGAUGGGAUGGGAUCAGCAGUGGCACGCUCUCUCGCCGCUUCUUGGGCGCCUCGCCGUCUCGGGUUGGGAGGGAUGGGGAGCGGCCGCUAGCGCCUAGUGGUAGUAGUGGGCAGUGUAGGGAGACCCGGCUGUACUAGUUGGUGGCAAGAGAGAGGGCUAGAGGAGCACUCUCGCUCGCACGCUGCAACUUUUGCCGUUUUCCGAGCUUUAACUUCCCUGUAUUCCUGGACCGAAAUGCCCCUUCCUGGUUCGAAAAUUACUUGGGGGCACCCGGAGUACAACAUGGCGGUCUCGGUGAGACUAGGGCUACUCUGAUUCAAAUAAAUAUUCACUCCGUCUCGAAAUAAUUGACUUGAAUUAUUUUGAAUUCUUAUACAAAUUCACGUCAUUUAUUUUAGGACGAAGAAAGUACAUAAGAAUUUUGAAGGAUUUAAAUUCUAAAGACCAUUUUCUUUGCUGGUCGUUUCAUGCACAGUGCUAGAAUCGUUGAGAAUUUUUUUAUGGAUCUUUUGCACUCUAUUUUUGAAGGAAAUCUCCAUUCAAACUUCUAUGUUAGAAUUCAUUUGUUUUUUUGUUCUUAUCCUAAAAGAAGGAAAUUCAUUUGUUUUUUUGUGGUGUGUUAAACAUUCCUUGGAUACUAAUUCUGUACUUUUCAAUCUUAUAGGAUUAUCUUCGAAUGAUUCUUAAGAAAAAUAUGCAACAUUGAUGCUCCCUCCAUUCCAAAAUAUACAUUUCAUAAGUUGACUGUCAGAUUUUCAAAAGUUUAACCAAGCUUAUAGCAAAAAAUAUUCAGUGUCAAACCAAGAUAGUAUGCAAAUAUAUUUCACAAUUGAUAUUAUGAUCUUGAUCCAACACUGCAUGUGUUGGUAUUUUUGUUAUAAGACUGACCAAAUUUAAGACAAUCAACAAAAGUUGUACGUCUUAUUUUUAUAAUGGAGAGAGCAGAUGCUAAGAUUGGCUUAUUCUAAAAGCUAGUCACUCCUUGUAGGAUUAUAAGACUUUGUUCUGAAAAUCUUCUUACAAAGACAAGAAUAAAUAAAUAAAUGAUACAACCUAACACAUGUAUAGUAAGAAAUUUUAAGCUAAGCCAACGUGAUUACUUGUACUGUCUGAUCAUCUUGUGACUUGACAAUAGUUCACUGAGAUGAUACCAAAAAUCAUGAUCAACCAGCACCGGGAGAAAAAUAGCUUUGACAUCCGUACGGCUUACAGGGUUUGGUGGCGCGCAGUCAAAUUAAUCCUUCCCUACCAACACCCGGCGAAACGAACUCGGGGUUAUAAAACCCGAACAUGCUCUUUGUUUCUCGGACGGGUGCCGUCGUCGUCCUCCGUUCACGCCUUGGACGUGCGUUACGUGCAUACAGGCCCGGGCCAACCCAAACGGCUUUAUCCCGUUCUCCCCGGGAGCCCGAAGCGUGCGUGUGCUUGCAUGGCCCCGUUGGUAAUUUCGCUCCAGUCCAGUCCACCGGCUGGCUGUGGGCCAGCAGUCAGCAGUCAGCAGGCCCCACCCACAGUGGGGAAUCGGCCGCGCCACCUACCUCGGGUCCCCGUUUGCGUUUCCCCACGGGUCGCUGGAGAGUGGGGGCCGGAACACGUCGGACCCACAUGGCGUUGGUGGCUUCCGGCGCGUGCGGCCGCGGCCCAUGUCCGGCACAGUGCGUUCGCAUCGGAUCCGGACGCAACGCACCGUCAAAACUGAGACGACCGGGUCUCGGACUCUCGUUGGUGAGGGGAAGAGAAGAGUGAUUAAGUAGCGCUGGUGCUUUCACUUUUACUUGCUUGCACGGGAGCUGCAAGAAAAGAAGAAGACCUACGGACAAAGUACAGGCCAUGGCUAAUUUUAUGCAUGUUUGCAGUAGUACGAGCACCGUCGUACUAAUAAUAAUUCUUUAACGACUAAUCAUGGCAUCUAGGCAUGCAUGCAGGCAAGCACACGGCGGCCGCUGCAAAACUGCGUGGCAUGUUUUCGAACCAAUAGGAUCGUACGAGUUGCCUACCGACUACCAAGAAACUAGUACUAACAAACCCAUACACCUGCAAUUUUAAUCUUGUGGCCGACGCCUGCAAGAAUCGGCGCCAAAUGGUCAAAGUUCGUGCAGAGAACAAAAUGUUGCCCCUACACUGGCAGCACAAAAGCCUCUACGAAUAUUUAACUGCGCUUUGUUCCAGACACUUGUUUGGGAUGUUUCGCACUUUGGUACUAGCACCAGUAUCACUCCCAGACAGUGCAAAUCAGAGGCCAGUCAGCAGCAGCAACGACAAUAAUAAGUAUUCCUCCUGGUAAAACCUGGUACCACUGCUAUACUAAUUAAAACGUAAACAACCCCUGGUAAACCCCUGCGACCGAUAAUUAUAGUGCCUAUGCAUGCACAGCUGCCGGGUUUGGUUUGGUUCGCGCGAUGCUGAAGCAGCAGCUAGCAGCGUCAACACAUCGUCAAAGCAGCCCUGACCAUGCAGUACCGCAGUGCGAGUAGUAAAAUGCUACGAUUGCCCGGAUCUUACAGUCUCGGUAAGAGGGUGAAAAUAACGUGCUAAAUAGAAGGCUACAAAAUUAAUCCAGGAACAGUACGUGUGGUCCUUGCCUGACCGAUGGGCCCACAUGGCAGGAAGAGUAUUGGGUCAGGUCAAGGCCGGAUGUAUCAGGCUCACAAGACCGGUUGUACCCUCAGUGAUGGAAUGGUGCAGGCGUGCAUCACCAGAAGCGGUGAAAAAGUUUUCACUCUAUCGCUGGGCUGCAUUUAAGGUUCUUCAUUUUCUUUUUCACUCUUCUGAGGUAAUGUCUUGAUAUUUGAUAAGCUGAACACUCUAUCUAGCUAGUAUGACCACUUAAUUAAUAAGCCGGAUGCAUUAUUUCGGUACACUAGCACUAGCAUGUGCUUGAUGUACAAGCUGAAGCUUAAGUAAAACGGAAGCAUAUGGCAAGCAGAAGGAAUCCAUCCUGACGAGGCAGAAAGCCAUCCGUUUUGCUUUAGCUCCUGGCGCUUUUCAUGCACAAACACUUGAAAGACACCUUUCUUUCCUAUACUUACUUUCAUGCCUCUAUUAUUUAGUUAGCACUUCUCAACAAGAAAAAAGUGGUCACCAAAAGCUAGCGGUACUCUACGCAAAUGGUCACUUCCCAGCCGUAUAAGAGCCGAAUCAUUGCACUACCUCACUCACUUUAGUAUGCAGCUUGUGUGGCGCAAAAUUGGAACAAAGUUCAACACAAGCUCUAAGAUGGGGUGAUUUGUAUAUCCAUGCAUGGACAUAAAAUUUGUCAGGUCAUGGCAUGGAGACAGGAAGCUAGUAUGUAUUACACGUCAGCUUAAUUAGCCUGUGACGUGCUGACAUGCCUGGGAAUGGCGAUCAGGCGAUGGGCAUUGGGACCCAAGGUAGAGAACAGAAGAGGGGUCAUUGGCACAAUUCAAAGCCGUUCUUGGUCACAUGGUGUGCUCCUUUAGCGAGCAAAGCUGGCAGGCUUUGUCCAGUUGCGCUAGCUGAAGCCGCUAAACAGUAAACAUACAGUGCAACCCUUUCUCAGUCUUGCUAUCACCAUUAAAUUUAUGGUCAGGAUCUCAAACUCCCUGCAGCACACCCAAUUAAUUAGGGCAGAGUGCAUGGAUGGAUGGAUGCAUAUAUGCUUGGCCGUAAGGACUCUAUAAUUAAACUAGUGGUACAGGAAUAUAAUCUGGCAAAGAAAGAUGGCCAUAUGCACUUUGGGCUCUUGAUGGUGUGCUAACCAGCUAAAGUUUGCCUGUACUGACAGAGAUGUGUCGUCCCAUGCAGAUCACUGUCGACUCGCAAGCCUUGUAGAGUCGGCCUCGUUGAAUUAACUCUGAUCAUUCUCAAUUCAUCAUUCUCGCCACCGGCCAACCUUGAAAAAUCAGACCACCUGUAUCAACAACAUGCAUUGGUGCACGGUCUACUGUAAACCCUACAGCUACGGUUUAGAUAAGUAUGCAUCUUCCCCUGAGCGUGAGAGCGUCCACAUCCAGGGGAUUGCAUGGCCUAGCCAAGGAGCCACUAGAGAAACCACCAUACAAGCGGCCCGUGAGCUAUAUAUACAGGCUCAUUUAUCUGACAGAUUUCUUGUGUGUGCGUUUGAGAUGCCAAAUGAGAUCGAUGUCUCACCAAAAUGAGACUAGACCUUGCCUUAGCAUGUACAGUACAAGACACAUGAAUAAUUUGGUGGUACGUGUUGGGCAAAUGGACAUGGGUACGUGAUGGGUCCGGUCAAUCACAAAGUGUCGCAUGCAUAUGUAUGUUCACCAGAAAAUUUUACCUGGAUUUUGUCCUCCCCUGUGCCUCCUAUGAGUACAACGUUUACUGAAGAAUAUAUACCAGGCUAUUAGCUAUAUGCUCUACUUUCUACUCGAACACGGUGAGAUUCUAGACCUUAGCUAGGCCCUCUUCUCAUCUCAGUAUUCUCCAGGCUUAGAAUACAGGGCUCAAAGAGAUGUACUACUUAACCACAUUUAGGAUGAAUCAUAAAUUGUAAAAGAUCAAAGGACAGAAAGACAGAGGCUACAUUUGACAGAUACUCCUAUAUCGCUUGCCCGUGAAGCGAUUACGAAUUGCCUAGGAGGCUACGAGCCCAGCCCUUUUACAAGUGCUCCUCCUCCUCUUACGUUCCAGAUGAGAGAUUAAUGGCUAUUGCCGCAAGAUAUAUAGGAAGUGCCCAAGGCCUAGCACACACGCGCAAUAAUGGAGGACCCAUGGCUAAAAAGCUGGAUCAGUGUUAGUACCAUGGUACUAGAUAGCUGCUUUUUUAUGGUAACCGGAGGCCCAUGGGACCCUUAUGUGCUCACGGUCCAUGAGGCCAGUCCUCGCAUGUGCCGAGGUCACAAUUCCACAUACUCAAUGAGGGACUCUUCAUCUAAUCCAUUUGAUCAAUGAUAGUAAUAUCGAAAGCUACAGUUUAACUGUAGCGAAUUGUUUGUUUGGCCAGAUUGACCUGUCGUCGAUUUAAAAUCUAGAUGUGGUUAUGGAUAUAAUGCAUAGAUGGAAAGGCAAUCUUCAGCUACCUUCCUGUUGGAUACUCUUUUUAAGAUAAUGGUAGAUGUACACGCAUUGACGUGAAAACGUACCAACAGAUACAGAAGAAUUUUAUAGACCUACGGUCAUACACCCUGUAUAGAGAUGUGGAAAAUAUGUGCUGGAGUACAUUCAGUCUGGCGUACCUUAAUGAAUCUGAAAGAAGUCUGGAGUAUAUUCAGUCUCUCGACUUUUCAAGGCUGGAAGCCAAGAGAAAGCUGGGACUUCCAAUGACAAUAGAGCUGACAAGAGGAAAGGAGACAGUAAAAUUUAGGUGUCCAUGGUAACCAGAGCAGAAGCACAGAAAACACAUGCAAUGGCUCAGCAUAAAAUCCCCAUACCCCCUAUCCCGUACUUAUCCUCUGACCAGGGAUAUUAAAAAAUUUAUUAACAACGAAACAGAUCAUUAACGCAUAUACAUAAUUGGACGACCACAUAUGAUGCCAAAAGACAGAAAGCAUAAUCAUUACAUAAUUAGUGCUUCUGACCAAAACCCACUGCUCUGAUUACCUGAAAGAAGCAUGACAAAAGUGCUAUGCUCUCAGAUAUUCUCCUCGCCUUCACAUCCUGAAGAAAAAAAGGUUCCAGAGUUGUACAAGCAUAUCGCCGGUUUCUUACCAACACAGAUAGAGACGGGAUUACAAAAAGCAUCCCACGGAGAUUGAUUUUGCUCAGGACUCAGGAGUCGACAUGGCAGAGUGCAAAGCUGUAAUCCAUCCUAUACACCGUGGUAGACUUUACAAUUUCCUUGUACUAUGCAGGGGCAUCCUAUACACCGUUGUACUUACAAAGAAGAAUGAAGUGCCGUCCCUUAUGAACUAGCAUAGUAUGACCUUAUUAUUUCCACAAAUGAAGGCAAACAUCUUCAAUUCACUUUCAAGUACACAGGUGACAUUUCAUCAACACCACUCCGUGACGAGUUCCAUUUAUAUCAUAUAUGUAACAUUAUAUACUUACAAUAUGAAUCAAAUUUUCAUCUCCCAGAUAUCCGUUUUCCAGAGCUCCCAACCCACUAACUUAUUUACAAUGAAGAUCUCGGCAAUGUUAGGUCCUGAAGACUAAGAGAUAGAAGGGCAAAUGGUUUUGACAUUUUGUGUGAGGUAUCACAACCUCACAGGCAAGUGUUCAAUCUCUGAAAUUGAAGACCCAAGCUCUCUCUCUUUCAGAGCCUUAUUCCUAAGCAACCUGAAACAGACACAAGUUAGAGAUGGAUGGAGUAACCUAGAAGUAAGAUUCUCCAAUCAUAAGUUCUUAUCCUAAGAAAUGCAAUGCACUUUUUACUAUCAAGCAUACAUGCCCCAUCGCCAUGGUAAAGAAGGAAAAGAAUCAGAAAGUCAGCAGAAGAGGAUCUAUUCUACUGACAGAAAUUUUAACUCUGCUAAUAACUUUUCAUAUUUUUCUGUCACAAAGUGUUGUUUUCGUAGAUUAAUUUCACUAAAAAGGAUGGUAGCCUAUUCAGUCAGUGUACACAUUAACUUUAAAGAUGACCAUAGCAAAAGAAAUUAUAAAGAUGAACAAGUACUCCCAUAAAAUAUCCUCUUGACACGUAAGUAACUUAUACAGUCAACAAAUCUAGGGUCAACACAUAGAAGUCUUUAUGUGUCACCACUAUCUAUUUUUUAGAAGUUAGAAAACCACUCACGUUAUUACAGUUAGAUGAUAUCAUCUGGUUAAUAUGGUAAACCCAUCGGAAACAUGCUUCUUCUCUAAGACUAAGGCCUUGUUUUUGGGAAUUAGAGCACAAAAGGUCGUUGAGGGAAAUGAAUCUAAAGUUUCAGCACACUGACCACGCAAGACACAACAUAUCAUCAUCAAUGAAGGUUGAAGCGACAAUCAGUUAUCAAUAUGUGCACAAUAGUUUGAGAACUAUUGUCCUUCUCAUCAUCAUGUUCCUCAGUGUUGUCAAAAGUUCAUUCCUCCAUCUAUCAUGGUCAGUAAUUUGCUCUGUCAGAACAUAGACAUCAAAAACCCAACCAGCAUGCUAAAUAUCAUUAUAAAACUGGUCUUCAACGCCCCUGGUGUUAAUUUUCUGUUUAUAUCAGGAAUUCACGACAUCAAAAGGAUCUAAACAUAAGAGCAUGAUAUGGACUGCCAUCCAAGGAUGCAACAAUAGCUCUAAUGAGAACAUAGCAAGUAUAGUAUGAACAGUGCAUAGUAUGUGUUGUAUGCCUGAGUUCUCUCUAUAUUUAACAAUUUUAUCGGCAAGCUUAAGAUUUUGGAAAAGUCAACAUGCCACGUUACAAUUAAGAGUAACUUCAGAGUCACCUUGUCCCCUCAAACUACAAGGUUUGCCAGAAACCUACUCUCAAAUACAACCCCAAACGGGCAACUAAACCACUAGGUCCUUUAAUGAUGUCCAUGGAAUCUUUUUUAUCAUACAAAUUAACUAGAAGAGGUGUGCAACUCAGUUACACCCACACUUAACUCUAAAUAUAGUGAAGAUCUAUAUAGAGAGAACAUCGAAUGUGCACAAUAAUGACAACAUUAGCACAAGCCUUAAGAUCAUCUUCCCAUAUCUUUUUAAAGUGGCCACCAGGAAAAUAGAACUGUUGAGAAGGAGCUCCACCAGAACAAUUGGAUUCGUGCACACCAGUGUCACUCUGGGAAAUGGUGCAAUGACUUUGUUUUGGCACGAUAGCCAGCACUGUAGCACAGGCCUUAAGACAGUCUUCCCAAAUCUUUUCAAAGCGGACACCAGGAAAAAUAGAACUGUUCAGAAGGAGCUCACACGUUGGUAUCUCCACAGGAUAAAUUGAAUUAGCCACCCUCACAGAGAUCAUCAACGGUAAUUCAGCCGCAGCCUCAAUCUCCUGAUGACAUCUUCUCAAGGUGGACAGAAAAUGGGAGUACAAGGCGUGUUUGCUUGCCUACCAGGCACAGUUUACCGGCUCCAAGAUUUGGAGGGUUCAUGCAGAGACAAAAUGUCGGUUCUUUCCUUGGUCCAUGCUCCACAAACCUUACGGCAGAUAACCUUGCAGCAAGAGGACGGGGUAUGGCCUCCAUGUGCUUUGCAAUUAGGUGCCAGAGAGUGCUGAGUGUUGACUACCAAUGCAGAAAUUGCCAUUAUACAAAGAUUUGGGAGAUGGUUCGGCUCUGGAAUGGCAAUUUUCCAUCCAGAAUUCACGCUGCUUCAUCGGUUGAUGAAUGGUGAAACGCUGAUAGGUGACAAUUAGUAGUGACAGGAAGCCUUGCUGAACGGCAGAGCUCCUCCCAUUUUCCUCACAGGUCAAGUAAGCGUGAAUGUAACAUAUGAUGCUCUAUAUGAUCCAGACAUAUUAACGGUUAGCAUAACCUAAAUCAUAGCGGCUUAUAAUCUAUACUGCCGAUUGCCAACUGUGCUUGAACAGUGAUUCCUAUAACCUUAGGACAAUCAUUUUGAUGUGGUUCAAUUCAAGUGGACGGCCUUAUGAAAACCCAUCAGGUUUGGGUAUUCAGACAGCUGAACCUGAAUUUGUGCCAGCUGUAGGAGAGCUAGUGCUACGGAUUAACCAGAGUUCAGACGUGCACAAACCCAUUCCACGCAGUAGGAUCACAAAGCUAAAUUACUAUACUAGUACUAUGUGAUUUAAGCAGUCGGAGACGAAACGGAAAUGGCUGAGUGAGCAAGCGGCAUACCUCAAUCGUCGUGAGGAUUGAUAUGAUCCCCAUCCUCGAUGUCAACAUAGUCGUCGUUGUCGUCGUCAUCCUCAUCUGAAGACGAUGAUGAUGAGGAAGAGGAGGAGAAGGAGGAACGGGAGUGCCGAGCUAGCAUGAGGUCCGGGGGCGGGAGCAGGAGGAGGCGCUGGCGGCGGCGAGGGUUGGCGAAGCGGAGAGGGGAGGCGUGGGCGGGGAUGAAGGGGACGCAGAGGAAGGCGGCGAGGCGGGCGAGGAGGUGGAGCGGCCCGCAGCAGAGGAGCGCGAGGACGCGGUCGGGCGGGAGCGUCUCCGGGUUGCACGCCACACGCUGCCACCCCUCCGCCGACGCCCGCGCCACCGCCACCACCCACCCCGCCCGCACCGUCAUUCCUCAGCCGCUUUUUAACCGGCGCCGAUGACGAAUCCCCCACACCCACCCACUCCAAUCCCCAACGCGCCGGAAUGGCGUGCGGCGCACGGUGGGGAGGAGGUAGCGAUUCGAGGCGCGCACGGCACGACCGCCCGCGCGCGUGCGUGGGGGGUUCUCUGCCUCGCUCCGCCCUGCCGCCGUGUGGAUCUCGCCGGCCGGCUCGGAUUUGCCGCUGCUUCUGCCGCCGGGGCAGCGUUUUGGGUUGUUCAAUCGAUUACGGUUGCUGGCGGGGCUGGGGAAUCUGUUGGGCUUUUAUAGCUAAGCUUUAUCUACUCAGAUGCGUACGUGGACUGUAGUGGCUGACUCGACGUGGAGCCCACUCGUCAGUGAUAAAUUUGCUGUUGCGCCUAAAGUUUCUCAGCGAGACACCUUUGAGAUAUUUGAAAAAAACAAGUCAUACAGCAUAGUUUGCAGCAGAAAAAGUAGCGCAGACGAGUCGGACCAACGCUUGAACACAACGCAACUACCUAGCAGUAGCAUGUAAACAUGUAUAAUGAUGGAUAACAUGGCAGAAACAAGGAAUACAGCUGGUUGCCUGGUUAAAGCACAAGUGUUUUGGGCCUCAUAACAAUGUCAGGAUCAUGGAAUAGAAAGGUUGCUACCGAAAGGUAAAGAAAAUAGCAUGGAAAAGCCAGAACGCCUACAGGUGAGGGCCAAUCCUGAAUAUUGAACAUUGAAAAACAGAGCUUUCGGUAUGGAACAGGAACUGUAUCAUCCACAGCAUUUUAUUUCAUGCAUUGUGAUGUGACGAUUAAUGUAAAAAAAAUAGCGACCUCUGUCGAGCACAAAAAAAAAAGGCUUCAUGGAAGAGUUCUCUCGUAAAGGGGGAGGGCUCCCAGUGCUUCACGCUCCGCUGCCUCCUUUUUCACCUGCAACAGAAGUCAAAUUAAACAUGAUGAAAAUAUCAAAAGUAGCAUCACAGCAUAAAAUCAGACAACCAAUUUGAGGCAGGAAUUUGUUCGGUAGUGGCAUCAGACUUGGAAGGAAAUACUUCUAUUUAUUAGUGAUUACUAAGGCAUAUACAAUUACCGAGGGAGUAAGAAGAAUACUAGACUAGACAGUCACAUCUUACAUAGUCUAAGAAUUUGCACAGUGGCUCAUCUUGUACUAAUUUCAUGAAACAGUAGCAAUAAUAGUAAUGAACUAAUGACCGCUGCUCAACCGGCAAAUAACCAAGAACGGCAAGUGGCGAGAUCAAUGACAAUGUUCAUGCUGUCAUGAAUCCUUAAGAUCAUGGUCAAAGUAAAGGAUGUACAUCUACACAGGACAACUUUCGGGUAGCAUAGCUUCAAGAGAAACUUGAUCAAACUGUUUUACAUGAACUUAUAGGGUGUUUGCUUUGAGCAAUCACCUCAUUAUAUCAUUAGUGGAAUGACCCCAUGUCCCCACCCUUUAGUUUGUACUCCCUCCGUCCCAUAUUAAGUGCCGAAAUAUUACAUGCAUCUAGACGUAUUUUAGUAUAUAGAUACAUCCAAAUUUAGAAAAAAUUGAGUCACUUCAUCAAAAGAAACACCCCACUUGAGGCAGAACCUCUAUAUUGUAUGUUUGUCCUGUACAUAUGAUAUCAUAACCAAGAUAGAAGUGCAUUGGGAUUUCAAAUUAGCAUAAUGUAGAAAUGUAAAGUGUGACUGUUUAUGCAAAUAACAAGUGAAAUGACAAAAGGGCGAGCAUCAGCAGAUGGUCAGGUACACUUACCAGAGCUAGCAUGUCAGUCAAAUAGCUUCUGAAUGGUGUCUGCAGUGCCUGUACAAAGAAAGUAAAUGUUUCAGAAGCCUGUGCUUAUCAGAGAAAGAGGUUUCAACGAAUAUUAGUUUGUAAAACAUGUUUCUUAUACAUUGACAUUUCAUAGGUUUAAUGUAUUAAUGGCUUCAGAAAAAAAGGAACUCUGGAACAUCUACAGGACCGACAGAGAAAGAAGGCCAAGCAUUCAUCUAAUCUAAAAUAAGAGCAAAGCUAUCCAGGAAAGCAAGGAUAAAAAUGCAGUACAUCGCAAAAAUGCAGCACAUGGACAUCCAGAAAAAAGAACUCCUAACAGGCUAACACAGAUGCAAACCACAAGUGGAAAAUGACAAGAAACGACAAAUAGGAUCGUCAACAAGAAUGCCUGCAACAAUCUGACCCACCAGCAUGAGGGAAUAUCCUGUAAGAAGCCUACACAGGGAUAUUUCAAAAGGCUUAUCAAACCUAGUCAACCAUAUUUUCGUUAGACAUCUUAGAAGUUCUACCAAUCCUAACAAUCACUAUUCUCAUUCAAAUGUGAAUUGCCAAUUUGCCGGAAACCACUUCUCUCAUCCAACGUUGUUCAAAUCUCCAGCAUAGGUAGAUGGGUUUCUUAGGCAGCCAACAACAUUAAAAUGUACUCCCUCUGUCCCGUAAUUCUUGUCGAAAUAUUACAUGUAUCUAGACAUUUUUUAGGAAUAGAUACAUCCAUAUUUGAGCAAAUUUGAGACAAGAAUUAUGGGACGAGGGAGUAAUAUAUAUACGCUGAAAGGGUGCUCGCCCUUUUUGUUCCACAUUCAUUUCACUCGACUAGCAAUCAUCAACGAUAUAACAGAGACACGGUGCAUCUACUGCAGGGGCUCUCAAAAACACAACCUACACGGAUAGAACUGUAGAACUACGAUAAAAAUAGAAAUAGAAGGGUAGAACUCGUCAUACAAAUCCAUACACCAUCAGCACGAGAACCGCGACCCCCCAUUACACAGAUCGCACGCGCACGGAUCGAGAGAUGCAUCACAGAUCAGGGCAGGACCGGACCUGGAGGUCGUCGGGGAGGUACUGGUGCU